Ctenopharyngodon idella (grass carp) is the source of this 355-nucleotide long non-coding RNA. RefSeq lists it as uncharacterized. The transcript is spliced from 3 exons. Lineage: Eukaryota; Metazoa; Chordata; Actinopteri; Cypriniformes; Xenocyprididae. The record is from RefSeq and is a predicted model, not a curated record.
UUAAGAUCUCAUCUGUCUUUGUGUCUUUACUGCAGCAUGAGCAGAUGUCAGUGCAGAUGUUUGAUGACAUUCUGAAGAGUUUGAAGGAUGAGAAUGAAGAUGUGUUGAAAGAGCAUGGACUGGAUAAUAGAGAUGUCAUCUUCAUUAAAGAGUUAAUCGAAGGGGCAAAAGAUUCAGAUGAUAAGUGGACAUUCAAGGGCAGAGAUGAAGACAAAUCUUUCCUGUAUGAGAUUGUGGCAAACAAACAGAACGGCAUUGAUGUGGACAAAUGGGACUAUUUCGCACGAGACUGUCAUCACCUUGGCAUUCGUAACAGUUUUGACCAUCAGCGUUUGUUGAAGUUUGCUCGAGUGUG